GAACGAACGCUGGCGGCGUGCCUAACACAUGCAAGUCGAGCGAGAAAGUUCCUUCGGGAACGAGUAAAGCGGCGCACGGGUGAGUAACACGUAGGUAACCUGCCCCUUAGUCUGGAACAACUAGAGGAAACUCUAGCUAAUGCCGGAUGAGACCACGGUCCCCUCGGGGACUGCGACCAAAGAUGGCCUCUACUUGUAAGCUAUCGCUGAGGGAUGGGCCUGCGGGCCAUUAGCUUGUUGGUGAGGUAACGGCUCACCAAGGCUGUGAUGGCUAGCUGGUCUGAGAGGAUGACCAGCCACACUGGGACUGAGACACGGCCCAGACUCCUACGGGAGGCAGCAGUGGGGAAUAUUGCGCAAUGGGCGAAAGCCUGACGCAGCGACGCCGCGUGGGUGAUGAAGGCCUUCGGGUCGUAAAGCCCUGUCGCAGGGGAAGAAUAAGCAUCGGGAUAAUACCCCGGUGCCCUGACGGUACCCUGCAAGAAAGCACCGGCUAACUCCGUGCCAGCAGCCGCGGUAA
RNAcentral lists this ribosomal RNA (520 nucleotides) under uncultured delta proteobacterium. RNAcentral describes it as "bacterial SSU rRNA". It matches the Rfam family "Bacterial small subunit ribosomal RNA", at positions 27 to 523 of the family's 1533-position model. The record is from RNAcentral. Lineage: Bacteria; Deltaproteobacteria.